AUCAUGCCCUGGGCAACCUGAUGUAGCUGUGCAUGUCCCUGUUCAUUGCAGGGGAGCUGGAUUAGAUGACCUUUAAAAAGUCCCUCCCAACUCUAAGGAUUCUAUGAUUGUAAGUGAAGGUAUUGACUAGCUUUAUUCCCUGUGCUCAGGCAGGCAGCAAUAACAUCACAUGAGCCUUAGCAUGAAGCAAUUUUACUGUGACCUAAGUUAAUAUGUGUUGCAUCUGAUAGGGGUGAGCAUGUACAAGCAACCUAUUUCAGCUGAACUGUGGAAGCCUGAUUGCAGCAGAGGCAAUGAAAGGUAUGGAGUGAGGGUGGCACGGUCUGUCUGAAGGUCUGUGUCCAGAGCACAGCCACCCCCCAGUUCUAGAGGGUUUUGUCCUUGAUGCUCAGUCCACAGUGAAUCCCACACAAUGGGAUGAAGACACCAGCUGGUUGCAAGUUCAUCCUUGUGAGGUGGUGGCUAUCAUCACCAUGGGCUUCUGCAUCACUGGCUGCUACUCUGCACUGUUUGACACCAAUACCUGCUUCACAUCUAAUUCUCUCUUUAUGCAAAGCCUUUCUGUUCUUUUUCUGUGUUUCUUCAGUGAGAGGGAAAGCAAUGUGAUUUGGUUGUUUACCUCAGCUCAGGUAGCAUAAAUCAUUGGCUGAUACACAUGGUGACAAAUGAGCAUCUUUCCCCUGUCAAAGGCAAAGUCUGCAGGGAAUGGCAGAUAGAGCUGAGCCUGUUUUGUUUCAGGGAUCCUGCGAAAAUCCUCUUUGCUUUCCUAUGGUGCACUGCAGAAACACUGCUAAGGAUUGCAUGAAUGCUGAUGAAGUAAAAGCCGCUUUAAAAUGGUAAAUAAUUCACAUGUUAGUAUAUGAAAAGAAAGCUCCAAAGUAUCUCUCAUUUACAUGAAAGAUAAACACCCUUAAUAUUACAAAGUAAACGGUAUAAGGUUCAGUUAUUGUGGAUUCCAUGUGUGAACCCAGCCUUACCACUAAUUUUGAAUUAUUUCAAGGGAAAACAUACAUAAUUUUAAGAGAACACAUAUAUAAUCUGUACUUAUACCUUUGUAUCAUACAGUUAUUUUGUGCAGACAUUCUGGCUUACGCAACAGCAUUUAAUAGAUAUCAGCUUUUGACAUUAGCUGGAUCCUCAUAUACUUUGGAAGAAUUUCAAGCAAUACUUCAUCUAGUUUUACAGUUGCUGGGAUGCACAAAAGCGCUGUGGAAUCACUCUUCUAAUGCUGAAAUUCAUCUCAUCCCCCCGGAGUAAAAUAAAUGUCACAGGUAGCAGCCAGAUUCUCCUCCUCUGAAAUACCUCCACUGCACUUCAGUGUCAGGAAUCAGUGCUCAUUAUGCUUAUGAAUUUUGACUUUCAUUCAGAGUCACGGUGAUAUUUCUAGCCCCCCCACUCCCCAUUCAAAAGCAAGGGCUCAGUCCACUGCAGAGCUUGUUCCAAGCUAGAAAACGUAUCUUUUUUCUGUGAGAACCUAUUGUGGCUUCCUCUACCACUUAACUUCCAGUACCUGAUUCCAACCUCUUUAUACCUGUAUAAAUUUUCUAGUGCUUUAACUCUAACAAUUGACACCAUUCAGAUACAUCAAGGAGUAAAUUCACCAGCCCUAGAUUGAGGAGUUGGUGUGAAAUUACCUCCCUCUAAAGAUAAAAGUUAGGAGUACCUCUCCCUUAUGUUGUCCAGUGGGUCAGGUCUAUACAGAACCAAAGUGAGAAGUAAAGGUGGAGAGGACCAAAAGUAGCGAAAUUUGGCCAGAUCUCCACAGGCACCUUUAAAACUGCAAAAGCACAUCAGACUAGAAGGGAAUCCUUCUAUCAUCAUGUCUAGUUCCUCAGCCACAUGGGAUGAUCCUUCAUACCUUCCAACUUUAUGACUCCUAGGACUGUUUUUUUCUCAUUCUAGAGACGACGUCUACAUUUCUCAUAUCGUGAUCCUGUUGUUAUUGCACAGAAAGAACUCACUGUAUGGAAGGGUUCUUGUAAAGAGGUAAUAGGACUUCUGUUCAUGCUAUUUUAGAGGUCUUAUCCUAUAAGCUAGUGUAGAUUCUGUAAGGAGUAUUUCUUCUGAAUUCCAGUAAGGAGUACUGCUGCAAAGACCACAAACAAUAAUGCCAUAUAUCCAUCUUUUAGAUGUCUAGAAAUUCAUGUGGAGAAUGAUCUCUAAGCACAACUAUGCGUACAGUGCACCCUUAUGCAGCAUUAUACACUAGGUGUUGCUGGUAUCAACAGUAGUAAUGCCUUGCUAUUUCACCAACACUUUUCAAUUUGCAAAACAGUGUUGCAAAUUACCCUUGAUUUGUUUGCAUCAUUUACAACAAGCAAUCUUCCCCAAGACCAAGUCAAAAUGCCCUUCUUAUUUAUGACUGUAGUUUAUUUUUAAUUCAGCAUUUUGGAAACAAUUGAUUUGCAUUUAUUAGUGUCCUAGCACAGAGUGAUGUCCCACUAUCAUACUAUUUAUAUCAGAAGAGAAAUCAGCAAGGGCUAAAUUGGUAAACCCAAAGUUGAAUAGCUGUACAGUUUGACUAGCCACUAUGAACAGCUGUUUAUAAAUUAAGGUAGCCUGAAACUGCAGUUUCACAUUUCCUGCUAUCACAGAUGUCUCAUUCCCAUGCCUCCGUCAACAGAUAUGCCAGUGUCAAAGUGGCUACUAAGCUUUAUAAACAGGCUCCUACCAACUAAAUUGACCAUCAAGUAGAUGCCAAAAUAUACUAAAUCCCACAACCAGUUCAAGCAACAAAACACAUUUGUAAGAGUGAUGAACCUGCUAAGUACAAGCCAAUAUUUCUGCAUUAGCCAAACACAGCAUUAAGGAAAGGUCUUAAUACCCAGAGGAAUGACAGAAGUUUUCCUUGAGUCUUAUAUCUUCAAAUUAGCAAAUUGGAAACCAGCAAAAACCAAACCAGUCUGAGAAUCACUGAUAUAGGAGUCCAGAACUCAAGUGAAGUUUUACUGACCCAACUGAAAUCCAAAGUAGAUCAUCUCUGGCAGUUUUAGCAAGGGGAAAAGUAAGUACAGAUGAUGUAACUGGAAAGCCUACUUCUUGCCUGCAUUUAAUCUUGUUGUGAGCAUUAUACUUGCUAUUGCUUGGCUGGAAGCUAAAAUCUCUACAAAAUAUCUAUUUUGUUUAUCUCUAGCUUCACUUUGGUAGAUCCCCUGUUUCUCUAUGUAUUCAACUGCUGUGGGUUUCAUUAACCACUUGUAGGGAUCGCUCCAGGGAACAGAUUCUCUACAAUAUUUGUAUAAAAUGGGGCUCAAUAUAAGAUUUAUGUUCUACCAGAUGAACAAAAUUAAAUGAUCAUCACUGUGUGGUUGCUUAUUUUUCCAGAAGAAUAAUACUACAGGAAACAUUACUGAAGUACUAAGUCCAUACUUGUAUCUCCUUCUCUGUAUUGGUGUGCUUCAAGAGUCACUGCAAUUUUGCUCAGUGCUCAUGAUUGCACUGCCUUCAGCUGAAGCAGCCUCCAGGUGCAGUACCACUUCCAGAGGGCAGGACUGCUUUGUCUGCUUGGAGCUGCGGAGGUUCUUCACCACAUCCAAGACCAGCUGAUGAGACAGAUCCUCAGAAUUCCUUUUCUCCUUUGCCAGGACCAUGCCUUCAAAGAUAAACUGGGAGAGCAGAACAAUUUCCAGAGGAUGAGGUUUUGAGUGCCUGCAGAAGGAUCAGGCUUCUAAUACUGCAACUGAAAACCCAAAAUGCUGCUGUAUUUUCAAGCUCCAGUAUGGAAUAUGACAGGUCAGAUAAUGAGAUACUGCAUUGUAUCAAGAAGACAAGAGCAAACAACUGAGUCCUCUCCAUUCCUGUUGAUGUUCAAAUCCAAGAAAAGAGGAGGGAGCAGAAAAGUUUUUGCUUUCCAAUGAUUUUUGUUUCAUUUUCAUUUGGUAUGGGGUACCGUUUUUUAGUGGGGUAAGAGGUUGAGGUGUUUUCUUUUGUUUGUCCAUUCCUUUCAAGAAAAAACAGCAAUGCUAUACUCCAGAAGAUGGUUCAAAGCAGUACAUCCUAAAUAACCAAACAAUGUUCUCGUUGUAUGCAAGCUGCAGAGAAGUGUAAGGUCUUCGACUCCCGUCAUAAGCAUGUUGAAGAUUUGUAGUGGGUUGGCUUUGUUAAUUUUGGUAACAACUUCCAAGAACCCUAAGAAACCAACAAAGGAGAAAUGGAUGCUAUUUCAGGGUCAAGUUCAGCAUCUCAAGACAGCACUGAUGAUACCUUUAUCCUUGAGAGGAUUUAAUCAGUCUGUUGCCACUGAAACCCUGGAACAGCACUACAUCUGCAGAUAGCAUAUGUUUAAUCUCCUAUGAUUAAGUGAUCACUAGAAAAAGUAAAAAUGCCCAUUAAAUGAAAAAGAGGUGAAGGAUCCUUCUGCCAGAAUGACAGGUCUCAUCUCUCUUGAAUUUUUCAAAGGCAGGAGCUGCUUUCUGUGAGAAUUCUCCUCUCUUCUGAAUGUCCCAAACAGGUGUACACGUGACAAAAAUGAGAUUCCUAACUGUUAGAGCUUUUAAUAAAGAGGUAUUCCAUUUCAUUCCAUCAAACCAAGAGGUAGGGGGUUAUUAGAAGGGUUAUUUUGAAGUCAUCAUCCCCGUCUAGUUGUGUACAUGAUAGCAGUGACUGAUGGCAUUCUUCUCAUAAAGAGGAUUGCUUCUAGGAACAGCUACUUAACCUCUCACUGGAAGGUUACAAGUGUAUUGUCUCUAGCGGCUGCAAAGGGUAAUCUGCCAUAAUCCCUCCCUCCACCACAGCCAGCGCUGCUCUUUUGUGGUACACAGCUGGCAAUGCUCACAUGACUGCACUCAGACCUGUGCUCUCUGUGCACGUCAAACAGAAAAUGCUGAUCUCAAUCAAGUAAUUAUAUUUCUGUUAAAAUUAAGCAAACCUGUCCCAGUCAUGUCAACAAAGCUAUUAGCCUGAGCAAAGACUGCUCACAUCCUCCUCCACCCACUUAACAAAUAGCUCCUAGUAGUUGCAACGGGAGAAUGCAGAAGUGGCACGAUCCCAAAUACAGAUGUAUGAAAUAAAAGCGUGUUGUUACUUCACUACUUCUACAUUGACCUGCUAGAAUAACUCAGCUUUAAAAUCACAGGAGAGCUUCCAACAGUUUUGGACUGAGUGUUCUACAAACAAUAGGAGUCGCUGGUUAUUAAGUAGCAUCUUUUAUUUACAUACUUCACACUCACCCCUAUCAGCACUCUAAGAUUACUUGGCAUUUUCCUGUUUCUUUAUUUUUCAAUAAGCAGAGGCUUCCUCACUCAAUUGUUAUAUAGCCAGAAAUAGAAAUUCUUCAUUCAUUGAACCUGGGAUGCACAAAUAUUAAAGCAAAUAUGCUGACAGGCAGCUACCUCAGCAUUUUUACAUCUUUCUCCACCCAGUUUUAGGGAUUUGGGACAGCAAAACUUGAGAGAAAAUAAAAUUCCAUGAUGUUUUCUUUUCUAGAAGAGAAAGGUGUUUAAUAAAGAUUAAAUUGAAGAGUAGCAAUGGUGGUUUCCAAGGAAACAACAUGGAUCUCUAUGCAUAUCAAUGAAUCCCUUUUUCUGAUUACUGUUGUUUGUUUGUUUUCUUUAUUUUCUUCCCCCAACUGUGGUUGCCGAGGGUUUUUUAUUGCUGUUUUCUUCCAUGAAGACAUAAGAAAUUCUCUGUAGCACCGCAGUAUCACCAGAUAAUAGAGAAACUAUGUCUACAGAGCAAGAGCAACACAGCUGAAAGCAGCUACAUACUCUAGACAUGUGGACUGCUGAUGGAUACUGCAUUUAAGGAAAAUCAUUAUAGAGAAAUCCCCUAUUAUGCAGCAGAAAUAAGUGACAAUGCACAUAGCUUUUAAAGAUUGCAUCAUGGGUGGUUCCACAGGCUGCAGAUAACUUACGACGAACCUAGAGGGAUGGCAGAGAAUUACUUGCAAGGACUGUGUACAGGGACUGGACUUUGUUGAGAAGCAUUAUGGAAAUUGUGGAAGUGAACUGCUGAGAAGAAAAAUGGAUUAAGCUGAGGAUUUUUUUUUUUUUUUUUGAAAGAGUGAUUUUGUGGAAGAUCAAUUUCUCCUUAGAAGCAAGUGAAAUUUUGGGUAACCUGCAGCUCACUGCUCAAUGGGGGCAGACAGAAAAGAUAAUUAGGAAGGUAUUCAAUUAAUAAAAGAAUAAAUAAGAACUAAUGUAGCAUAAAAUCAAGAUGUCAAGAACAAAAUUAAUCUAGGCACCCAGGGACCAGAGGAGAGAAAUGUGCUAAUUUCCUACAUACCAAUGCUAGUGACCUGUGCAAUAACAGGAAUUGCAAUGUCCUUAUGAACAUAAAUUCUUCUGGGAAAGAAUAAAGCCUGGUGAGAAGAUCUGCCUGACUAGAAUAUUAAAGUCUCAACUUAUUACCUGCUUAGUACUAAAUGGGAGGUAAAAUGGUAUUCUAUAUCAAAAAUAAUAUUGUUUGAACUACUGCCAGUUCAGAGGCAAACAUUUCACAAAUCCUUACAAAACAGUAUCCUAACAAAUAGGACAUAGUGACAUACACCACAAACAUGGGAACAAGACGAUGGGCUCUAUAAAUAUUUACCUAUAAAAUGCAAGAUAAAAUAUCUGUUAUCAUGGGCAACUUCAGCCUGUGUGAUCUACGCUGACAGUUUAAUUCUCUUAAAUAGCUUCCAAAAGUCUAAAUAAUGUAGAACAUAAUUCUUAAUACAAAAAUGUUAUCUCUGUCACAAUGUAAUUCUAUAUUUGAUGCCAUCUUGACAAUUUGAGGGGAAUUGAUUGCAUAGCUCAGAAGUCUUGGCAAUUGUGAACACUGCGUUGUGGAGUUUGGCUCAAGGUACUUUGGAACUUUCUAUUCUCCAUGUUGAACAAGCUCAGUUCUCCCAGUCUGUCUUCAUAAGGGAGGUACUCCAUCCUCACAGCCUCCUCUGGACUCUGUCCAGCAGGUCCAUGUCCUUCUUAUGCUGUAAGCCUCAGAGCUAAACACAGUACUGGAGGCGGGCAUCUCAUGAGAUCAGGGCAAGAAGAGAACCAUCUCCCUCAACCUGCAAGCUACAGGUGAGGUAUUAGAAUGGGCUGGCCAGAGAGGUAGUGGAGUCACUGUCAAUGAGGUGCUGAAGGAAAGGGUAGAUGUGACACCGAGGAACUUGGUUUAGUGGGUAUGGUGAUGAUGGGCUGGCCCAGGGAGGUGGUGGAGUCACCAUCCCUGGAGAAGAUCAAGAAGUGUUUAGAUGUUGUACAGAGGGACAUGGUUUAGUAGGAAAUAUUGGUGAUAGAUGGACAAUUGGACCAGAUGACCUCAGAGGUCUUAUCCAACCUUGGUGAUUCUAUGAUUCUAUAAGGUUGGUCUAGAUGACAGCAGUAGUCUUAUCCAAUCAUAAUGAUACUAUGAUUCUAUUAUUCUAUACCUCUUUCGAUGCAGCUCAACUGCAUCAACUGUACAAUUGGCUUUCUAGGCUGAAAAUUAUGAGGCUGAUAUGACUUACUUCUUGAUGCAGUUGGGCUGCACUAAUGCAGCUCUAUGCAGUAAUCAUCGUGAGUAGGUGUUAGAGGUGGGAAGAUUGUGCUUCAUAGUUUUAACUCCAAGCUCCUCUUUCCAGUGAGAUGCCACUGACUCACAACAUUUUACUCAUCAUAGAGUUGAGAACGUAAGCUGUGAUCUGUUGUCUCCCACCAAGGUCAGGCAUUGGGAUCAGCAGAUUGGAAGUAUUUAUUUUUUUUUUUUUUGUCAUUGAUGCAGGAAUCCCAGAGUUUAGCUGAGUUUUUCAGGUGGGAAAUAUGUGGGAGCACACUGGAUAGUAUCUGUAUUGUAGAAGAUUGUCCUUGCUCCAGCAGGCAGAGAGGAACAGGCCGCCUUCUGAUCUGGAAAGCAUCUUGUCUAGAGGAAGUUAAUGAUGAGUUCUUACCUUCACCUCUGAGCAAGCAAGCAUGUAGGUUACUGAACCAUGAAAACGAGGGAGUAGAAACAAAAGGAUAACACUGAGGCAAUACUGUAGGGCUGAUAUUCAUUAGUAAUAGUUCAAGCAAAGAAAAAGAAACCAUCCAAUAUUCAAAAGUACUUACAUAACAAGUUAUAUAAAUGCUAAUAGAAGGAAUAAACCCUAACAGAGAGGAAAGAUGGCAACCCAGAAAUAUCAAAAAUCCUCCCUUUUCAAAGAGCAGUAUACUGACAACCAGUUGGUCAGCACAGACUCAUUGUGUGCCCAGUGGUGGGAUGUGAGUUUGUUAACAGUCAGGCUGACAAUUACUAGUUCCAGACCAUUAAAAUAUAUAAGCAAAUAAAUAAGAUGAUUUAGUACCCACAAGCUUUAUGCCUGAUCUUACUCUAGAGCUGAUAGAUGAUGACAGAAUAAGUAUAAUUUCAGACAGUGAUGGUGUGUUUUCUAUUCUGACAGUGACUCAAAGAAAUUUUUAAAAGUAUCCAUAGAAGUUGGAUAUUUUUAAAUCAGCAGGUUUGGAUAGCUUGCAUCAGGGAGUUUAAACAUGCUGUUUGAGUAGCUCUCUGGAGCCUUAAAACUGAUUUUCAAUAAAACUGAAAGGAAGCCAAAUCUGUAAGAAAAUCUGGGGGAAAAAAAAAAAAAAAAGUAAAGCAAGCAAUCUGGUGGGUCUUUCAUCUCCAAAGAGUGGAGAAAGAAAGCAAGUGUGGGUAAUACAAAUAUUCCUUAUUACAAAAGUUUCAAUAACAAUAGGUAAUGCUAGUUAACUGAUACAUUCCAUCACUGAGACCAUAAACUUUCUUGAAGAAGUUGAACGAAGCACUGAGCCUUCUCCAAUAUUUCAGACCACAUUUCCAUUAGAAAUUAAAAUAUUACAAAGUAAAUAAAAUGCACAUUAAUUGGGUGCAUUUCAAGCCUGAAUUGAAAACUGUGUGCAAUAAUCUCUAAACACAAUCAACAAAUGAUAAAAGGAGUGAAAGGAGGCAAAAAGCCCUCAGGAAGUCAAAUGUUAGUCUUGUCUACUGUGGCUGAAGAGGGCUUAAGGUGAAGAUAGAUUUGAGCUUUAUAGUUUUUCCUUUCACUAAAAGGACCUGAAGUACUAAAAGCCAAGAGU
Long non-coding RNA from Gallus gallus (chicken), 8993 nucleotides. RefSeq lists it as uncharacterized. The transcript has 4 exons. The record is from RefSeq and is a predicted model, not a curated record. NCBI's taxonomy places the organism in Eukaryota, Metazoa, Chordata, Aves, Galliformes, Phasianidae.